This 484-nucleotide ribosomal RNA is filed under the name uncultured bacterium. Its description in RNAcentral is "partial 16S ribosomal RNA". It matches the Rfam family "Bacterial small subunit ribosomal RNA", at positions 30 to 507 of the family's 1533-position model. The record is from RNAcentral.
AUUGAACGCUGGCGGCAGGCCUAACACAUGCAAGUCGAGCGGAUGAAGGGAGCUUGCUCCUGGAUUCAGCGGCGGACGGGUGAGUAAUGCCUAGGAAUCUGCCUGGUAGUGGGGGAUAACGUCCGGAAACGGGCGCUAAUACCGCAUACGUCCUGAGGGAGAAAGUGGGGGAUCUUCGGACCUCACGCUAUCAGAUGAGCCUAGGUCGGAUUAGCUAGUUGGUGGGGUAAAGGCCUACCAAGGCGACGAUCCGUAACUGGUCUGAGAGGAUGAUCAGUCACACUGGAACUGAGACACGGUCCAGACUCCUACGGGAGGCAGCAGUGGGGAAUAUUGGACAAUAGGCGAAAGCCUGAUCCAGCCAUGCCGCGUGUGUGCAGAAGGUCUUCGGAUUGUAAAGCACUUUAAGUUGGGAGGAAGGGCAGUAAGUUAAUACCUUGCUGUUUUGACGUUACCAACAGAAUAAGCACCGGCUAACUUCGUG